Molecule: transfer RNA, 63 nt
Filed under: Heterocephalus glaber (naked mole-rat)
Lineage: Eukaryota; Metazoa; Chordata; Mammalia; Rodentia; Bathyergidae
Rfam family: tRNA
About the family: Transfer RNA (tRNA) molecules are approximately 80 nucleotides in length. Their secondary structure includes four short double-helical elements and three loops (D, anti-codon, and T loops).
Source: Rfam by way of RNAcentral
GGGGAUUUAGCUCAGCAGCACAGCGCCUGCCUGGAAAGCAUGAGGUCCUAAAUUCAAUCCCCA